GGGGCGGCCGCGACCUCCCGGGCUCCCGCAAGGCGCCGUGCGCAUGGCCGCCCGUGCACGGUUGUGGGGUCCGCCAGGGCUGCGCGGUGGCCGGCGGGGACCUCACACCUCUGCUGGGUGGCUGUGAACCGGGGAGACUGCGUCAUGCGGUUGCAUCGUAAGCCAGGCCUGCACCGCGCUGAGCCCCAGCGUUGUAAAACGCCCAUGUCGGUGGUUGGCCCGGAGCAGACGCUGUGUGUGUGCUGGCUAAACACGAGGAACCUGCCCCGCUUAAGGUGUCCGCUGCCGAGGUCAAGGCGGCUACGGUGAACCGCGCUGACGGCUGGACUUUGAAAAACUAACUUGCAUUUCAGGAAAGAAUAGGAAAACACAGCACCCUGGCGUGGCGGCGCGGGCCUUAACCCCAGGCAGUCCGGAGGCUGAGGCAGGAGAAUUGCUGCGGGUUCCAGGCCAGGCUGAGCUGCACAGGGAGACCUGUCUCAGAACAGCCCUCCCUAGGAGACAGUGCAAAGCGGCGGGAGUUACGUGUGUUUUUCUCAAAUCUUUGGCGCGGUAGUGUUUGGACAGGAAGGAAGGAGAGGGGAAAUGAGUGUGAAAUAACAAAGGAACACGGUGCUGGAAGGCCUGAUUGCUGGGACGGACGUGUUCAUUAACUGAGCCGCUCAGGGGGCUGGGGUGGCACUUUGCAAAUGCAAACGGUGACCGUGAGCACGACAGAGGCCUCCAGGGCUUCCCCAAACAGGCCAAUGGUGCCCGGUGUAUUUUACCACAUGCUAAUGUUUAGAAAAGGCGCGAAUUUUUGCGAUCUGGUGUGUGGUGACUUUCACGCCACCUGGGAACUUUCUGGGCGUCAUAACAGAAGAGGGCCGGAAUUUAGUUUAGUGAUGCAGCCACUGCCUGGCAGGUGCAAGGUUCUGAGUUCGCCUCCGGUGCGAUUCCUGGUACCAAGCAAACAGUGCAUUGACCCAUUAUGCUUGGUAGCACGGGUUUAAUAAAUACGCCUUUGUUAAGCCAGGAUUUCCCUGUGCAGUUCAGUAGUACAGGCUGGCCUUGAACUCACAUGGGUCCUCCUGCCUCAGCCUUCUGAGUGCUGUAAUCACAGGUUUGUGCCCCACUCCUCUUGCUCUCUGAGCCUGAUGCUGGACUCUGCACACCCAUCAGACACAAACCCAUCGGAGGCUUUGGUUCGGCACUGGGACCCGAAGAGGUGGCCCAGCACCCACAUCCUGCUGGCGGGGGUGGGGAGGGGACGGCCUCGCGGGUUCCAGCAUCUCCGGGUAGCACCGUGCAUUGGUGACCUGUGGCUGUUACCCUGCCAGCCCGCCCCUCGCGGCGGAAAUGCCACAGCUCUGAGGCGAUGCGCGGCCUGACCUGCAGCCCCAGCGCCGCCCCUCCCCCAGCCAGUUCCUAAACUGGGCUCCCCCACCCCGCGCGCCCCCUCCGCGUUUUACACGCUGUAACCCGAGAGGCGGCGAAGGCCGCUUCUUUCAUCUUCCAUUUCCCACAUUCUGAAAGUCGGAGAGACGGAGCCCACCCAGAGAAAGGAAUCCCAAGUAUGCGGCCCCCUCCAUCAGCUCCAUUCACAAGGCAGAUUAAGGGGGGCCGGGCUCGCUAGGCCUCCCGCCCUGCCCCCACCGCCCGGUCGCCUCCCCACACCCCGGGCUCCGGAGCCCCAGUCCACAAGCUUCCAACCAAAAAUUAACUUUUCUCUGGACUCCGACCCAAAGGAAAGCGGCCCGGCUGCACCCCGACACUGCAGCCGCAGGAUUUCCACUAACCCGCCUCUGUGCCCUCUUUAUUUUAUUUUAAAUGUUUUUUAAAAGACAGGGUCUCACCACGUAGUUCAGGCUGUCUUUUAACUCACUGUGUAGUCUAGGCUGGUCUCGGACUAGCCAGGACACUCCCGCCUCAGCCUCCCAAGUGCCGGGAUUACAGGCGUGCACCCCACUGCACCCGGCUGAAGGUUAAAGUGUUGGGGAAUGGUAAUUUGCGCUCACUCUCCUUCAGGGGAUGGGGAAGAUGCUUUGAAGCCAGACGGGCUCGGCGAUCAUCAGGUCCCUGAGGCUUGCAGUGAGGCAGCUUUUGGGCUGGCCCGGCGGGCUGAGGUCAGCGAGUAUAUUUACCGGAUUACUAACCCGGUUGAAGCCUCAGCCCCCUGCUCCGUGAGCAGGAACCCGGGCGGAAUGAUUGCUCAGAACCUUCCCAGAUCCCAGGAACUCGGGAAGCCUGGCCUGGGAAACCACCGUGACCUUCAGAGAAGCCUGACUCUGUCCCCCGCAGCCACAGGAUCUGUGCCUGCACCCAGUGAGUGUCCUAUCGGGCCUCAGUGUCACCCUGGCAAAUAUUAGGGCUCCUCGAUAAAGCAGGGUGUGAGCCCGGGCCAGCAGCUCUGCUCUGGAACUAAUGGGGCCCCGGACUCUUCGCUGUGUUCCCUCGAACUGAAACCCCUUAGCCCGUUCCCGGUGAAUCCCACAUACGUUUAUAACCGGAGCCACUGGCCUGCGCUCAGGAGCCAGGUCUGCUUUCUACUGCUGGUUUCUAAAAAGAGUUCUUACUCUCUGCCCCCCGGUUUUCUUCUUCUAUGUCCAGUCCUAGUAUGUACUGUGUCUCUUCUAGCCGAGGCUGGCCUCAAACUCAGUGAUCCUCCUGCUUCAGCCUCCUGAGUGCUGGGAUUAAGAAUGCACAGCUGGGGUCUGGGGAUUUAGCUCAGCGGUAUAAACGCCUGCCUUGCAAGCAGGCAGUUGUGGGUUCAAUCCCUGGUACUGAUAAAAACAAAAAAGACAAAAAAAAAAAAAAAAGCACAGCUGUGCCCUGCAAGAAACUCACAUAGGGAGCUUUUCUACAAUCCCCAUACUAUGUGCUUAUUUUGUAUUACAGGGGAUGGAACCAGGGCCUCCUGCAUGCUAGGUAAACAUUACCACUGAGCUACAUCCACUACCCUUUUUGAGUCAGUGGGCAUCUUUCUAAAUUGGCCUCAUUGGCCUUGAACCUGUAUUCCUCCUGCCUCAACUUCCCAGAGGGCUGGGAUUACAGGCAAGCACUGCACCUGGUUUGACAUUCCAGAUUACAUUUUGUUUGUUUCAUUUGUUUGCUUGUCUUAUCUUUUUGAAACAGGGUCUCACAAUGCAGUUCAGGCUGGCCUUGAACUCACUAUGUAGCGGAGGCUAGCUUUGAAUUUGCAGCAAUUCUCCUGCCUCAGCCUCCUGAGUGCUGGGAUUACAGGCAUGCACCAACACACUUAGCUAUAUAUAUAUUUUUAAAAUGGUUUUCUUGCUGGGAAUUUAGCUCAGUAGCAUAAGCUCCUGCCUCGCAAGUGCAUGGUCGUGAGUUUGAUCCCCAGUGCAAAAAAAAAAAAAAGUUUUUCUUUUUCUUUUUUUGAAGGGGGAGGUACAAUUUCAAAUAUGUAAAAACAGUAGACAAAAAUGUAACUGUGUAUGUGGCAUUCUGGAGGCCCUGGGUUCUAUCUCAAGAGUAAAAAAGAGCAAAAGGAACCAUUCGUGCUUGUGCUGUGCAGAGCCAAGGAAGCGGCCGGCCGGGGUGAUUUGGGUCCCUUGGCCGCUUUGGCUGUGGCCUGGCAGUGAAUCCUGAUCACGGCCAGGUCCGCCCGCAGCUGGUGCUGUGCAGAGUGCUCCUCCUGGGCCGGCUGAGCCUGGAACUCUUGGAGGAUUAAGGCAACAGAAGACACCAAACCAAGCUGAGAGAAGGACUCUGCAGGACCAGAACUCAGCCCAACAACCUGGGCAUGAAGCCGCAGCUAGGCCUGAUGCUCAUGCGAGACGGCCUGGCGGCAGGCAGGACUGCAGCACUGCGGGGCUGUCAGGGCUGCAAGGCCCCAGCUGUGAGACCUGCGAGGAGGGGAAGAUCCGCUGCCCCAGUUCCUGCUUUCAGAAGCUGAGCGACUGUUACCCCGCCGGCCUGGGUUUGGCAGAGCCCAGAUCGGGUGGCUCACCUCGGGGACUCUAUAAGGCCGGCUGAGGAGGGAGCAGAAGGUGACAGCCAACGACUUGGCCACCCAUGCACCUGGAGCCUCUGCACUGCUGUGGCUACCGUGGCUCCCGUGGCUCUGGAGGCUGGGAAAGGCCUUCCUGGUCUGUAGCCUCUGCUAAGUACCUGGGCUGAGUGCUCUGCCCGGAGCCUGCCCCACACCGUACCGUCUCCUGGGAUCUCAGGCUUCAGCACCGAGACUGAACCGAGGGCCUUCACGCUGAGCGACAUCCCCAACACUUUUAAGAAAAUUUUAUAUUGACUUCAGCAUGUGGGAGGCUGAGGCAGGAAGAUCACUGCGACUUUGAGGAGUUUGACACCACAUUGGGCUACAGCGUGAGUUCGAGGUCAGCCUGUGCUCCUUAGCCAGAUGCUGUCUGGAUAAAAUCAAAAUAAAUAAAAUAUUUGAUGGCAA
Cavia porcellus (domestic guinea pig) is the source of this 4399-nucleotide long non-coding RNA. RefSeq lists it as uncharacterized. The transcript has 3 exons. The record is from RefSeq and is a predicted model, not a curated record. Lineage: Eukaryota; Metazoa; Chordata; Mammalia; Rodentia; Caviidae.